AGCGUGAAUCCAUUUCCUUUGAUUAUAAGUUACAGGAAGUUUGACCCUAAGUGUCACUACUGGUCCCUACUGCUGGGUUUUUCUCCUAGUUUUUAGUCUUUAGUUCAGCUAACCAAAUCAGGCAACAUCUUUACAUUCUUAAAUAUUUGCUUUCUGGUAUUUUUUUCUUUAGUUUUACCUUUAAUGAUAAGAACGGUGGAGAGGGAAAGACAGAGCUGCAUAAAAUGACGGAUUAAUAUUUACCUGCAGACAUGAGAGUGGGACCAAUAUUCUCGUCUGAUUCACAGUAAGAAACUGAAUAAACACAUUUGAAAACUGAAGAACUCCCAAAAUACCAAAGCUUUACUUCUAACCUCUGAGGUUCUAUCUGUCAGGGUCGAGUAAAACAAAGUAUAACUAACUGGUUCUAAGGAGGAUUUUAUAGAAUAAACGUACCUGCAGGUAGAAACCAGCACCAAGCAGCUGUAGGACCAGCAGCCACAUCCUGCCUCCUCUGAAAAGGACAAAGAGAACGUUUUAAAAGCCAAGAAGAUGUAAUAUUGUUCCACUGGUUCCUCAGCAGUAAUAUCAGGGAUGUGAGCACUCAGUGGAAAAAGAUGAAGCUGUCCGUCUGUUUGCUUUGGUUCAGUGUUCGUUAGUUUGUUCGUUACAGUCAUUCAGUAUGAGCUCAGAUCAUAAAGGUCCGUUUAUGAAGCAGACUUGUUUGCUGUGAGCUUAUAACUGGAAUUGUUCCUUAUAGCAGAGAUCAUUGCUGCUGCCACACUGGAUGCAUUUAUUAUUACCUGUAAACAGCACAAGACUAAGUUUGGCUUCUUUACAGUUAAACGAUGAGGGACGGUCCAUAGAUUACAGCUGAUGAAUCAUGGGAGGACAUUUUGAUUAGUUCGGUCUCUAAAAACCCACGUUAACGUCUUCUGGGCCUUUGAAUUACUCAGUUUAAAAAUAUGGAAAAAAUGACCACAGGUAGAAGUCAAGUUGGAGGAAAUAAAUGUCAGAUGAGGUGAUUAAUGGGAGUAAAAGCUGAAUAUUAAAUCUGUUGCAUCAGCUAUACCUUAAUAUAUUAAAUCUUUUUAGGGCUGAAUUAUUUACUGAAAUGUUACUGAAAUCACAGUAGAGUUGUGAAGAAGUUCACGGUCCAAGUUCCAGGAGCUGCAUUUCUUUUUUAAUAACGUGCCACAACAAACCAUUAGAGCUUCUAGAAAUGAUCUUCUCCUGAUAUAAGGAAAUAUAGUUUUAGAUGUAAGGUUUGAAAGAAACCACAGUAAACAUCACACUGUUCUUCUGUUUUUUUCAAUGUAAAAUCGAUCAAAAAUGACCAUUCCCUCUAAAGUCAUGAAUCAUAUUUCUGUUAAAAAAUGCCAAUAUGUUGGUUUGUCUACAAACUUAAAGGAGGUGCAGCGUAUAAUAGAAGUGAAUUCACCUGUAGGACGACUUAAAUGUCCAAGGAUUUAAUAUUAUACUACCUCUCAAUAACUGCAGGAUUUCUAAGCUGAUGAGUAAAAUAUUUUGCGUUUUAUGGACAUUCAAAAACAGAUACGUUAGAAAGACUAUUUAAAAAAAUACAACUGCAAAGAAGAAACUCAGUGCAACAAACUUCCAUCACUGUGGUUCUAAAACCAGCUGCUGGGUCAAUCUGUCUGCAUCAUGGUCCAAAUGGAAAAGAAGUGAAGAGAGGAAGAGAAACAUCUGACUGAGACCUAAACAUGAUGCAUUAAAGGCAGGAAGAUCAGUGAGCAGCUAAAAACCAGAAGUAACCAGGAGGUCUAGAAGGAGUCAUAGUUCCACUGAUCAGGAGGUCUAGAAGGAGUCAUAGUUCCACUGAUCAGGAGGUCUAGAAGGAGUCAUAGUUCCACUAAUCAGGAGGUCUAGAAGGAGUCAUAGUUCCACUAAUCAGGAGGUCUAGAAGGAGUCAUAGUUCCACUAAUCAGGAGGUCUAGAAGGAGUCAUAGUUCCACUGAUCAGGAGGUCUAGAAGGAGUCAUAGUUCCACUAAUCAGGAGGUCUAGAAGGAGUCAUAGUUCCACUAAUCAGGAGGUCUAGAAGGAGUCAUAGUUCCACUAAUCAGGAGGUCUAGAAGGAGUCAUAGUUCCACUGAUCAGGAGGUCUAGAAGGAGUCAUAGUUCCACUGAUCAGGAGGUCUAGAAGGAGUCAUAGUUCCACUGAUCAGGAGGUCUAGAAGGAGUCAUAGUUCCACUGAUCAGGAGGUCUAGAAGGAGUCAUAGUACCAGUAAUCAGGAGGUCUAGAAGGAGUCAUAGUAGCACUGAUCAGAGCUGCAGUGGUCGUCCUUCUAAAAAGAUGCCAGCUACUUUCAGUCCAGCUAAAGCGGUUGAGGAUUGCCUCAUUGGUUAUCAGUGACGGCUCAGAGAGGGUGAAGGACAUCCAGUAACAUCAACAGCAUCAAACACCUUGACCUGCUCUACAGCGUAAAGCUGCAACAUUAAACCUUUGAAGGACAUGAAAUGAAGCCUGAUGAAUACUGAGAGCACAAACAAGUUGAUUUUAGUUGCACUGAACUCUUACUGGGGGAUAUGUUGUCUGAAAUAAAUCUGCUCAUUUUAUUUUAAGUAACAGCAAACACAGUGUUUAAGUUAGUACUGCAGUAACUCAUAAUGCAGCUGACGUGUGUGUGUAAUAUGUAAAUACUGUUAGAAUAAACAGAG
This is a long non-coding RNA of Acanthochromis polyacanthus (spiny chromis), 2660 nucleotides long. RefSeq lists it as uncharacterized. The transcript is spliced from 5 exons. Lineage: Eukaryota; Metazoa; Chordata; Actinopteri; Pomacentridae. The record is from RefSeq and is a predicted model, not a curated record.